RNAcentral lists this ribosomal RNA (1237 nucleotides) under uncultured bacterium. RNAcentral's name for it is "bacterial SSU rRNA". It matches the Rfam family "Bacterial small subunit ribosomal RNA", at positions 28 to 1248 of the family's 1533-position model. The record is from RNAcentral.
AAUGAACGCUGGCGGCGUGGAUAAGACAUGCAAGUCGAACGGAAACACUGAUUAGUUUACUAGGAUGUGUUUUAGUGGCGGACGGGUUAGUAACACGUGAGCAACCUGCCUCGAAGCGGGGGAUAGCCUUCCGAAAGGGAGAUUAAUACCGCAUGUGACCCCCUUUUACUAGGGUGGUCAAAGACUGCUUCGGCAGUCACUUCGAGAUGGGCUCGCGGCCUAUCAGUUAGUUGGUGAGGUAACGGCUCACCAAGACGACGACGGGUAGCUGGUCUGAGAGGACGAUCAGCAACACUGGAACUGAGACACGGUCCAGACACCUACGGGUGGCAGCAGUCGAGAAUCAUUCACAAUGGGGGCAACCCUGAUGGUGCAACGCCGCGUGGAGGAUGAAGGCCCUAGGGUCGUAAACUCCUGUCAUGUGAGAGUAAGGCAUAUUAGGUUAAGAGCUAAGUAUGUUUGAUAGUAUCACAAGAGGAAGGGACGGCUAACUUCGUGCCAGCAGCCGCGGUAAUACGAAGGUCCCGAGCGUUAUUCGGAAUCACUGGGCGUAAAAAGUACGUAGGCGGUCAGGUAAGUCAGGUGUGAAAUCCCGGAGCUCAACUCCGGAACUGCAUCCGAUACUGCCAGACUUGAGUAAUGGAGGGGCAGGUGGAAUUCUCGGUGUAGCAGUGAAAUGCGUGGAUAUCGAGAGGAAGACCAAUGGCGAAGGCAGCCUGCUGGACAUUUACUGACGCUGAGGUACGAAGGCCAGGGUAGCGAAAGGGAUUAGAUACCCCUGUAGUCCUGGCAGUAAACGGUGCGCGCUUGGUGUAGGAGGACUCGACCCCUUCUGUGCCGGAGCUAACGCGUUAAGCGCGCCGCCUGGGGAGUACGGUCGCAAGACUAAAACUAAGAAAUUGACGGGGACCCGCACAAGCGGUGGAGUAUGUGGCUUAAUUCGAUGCAACGCGAAGAACCUUACCCAGACUUGACAUGUAUUGCUAAGCACGUGAAAGCGUGUGACCCUUCGGGGACCUUACACAGGUGCUGCAUGGCCGUCGUCAGCUCGUGUCGUGAGAUGUUUGGUUAAGUCCAGCAACGAGCGCAACCCCUGUGAAUAGUUGCCAGCACGUAAUGGUGGGGACUCUAUUCAGACCGCCCGGGUCAACCGGGAGGAAGGUGGGGAUGACGUCAGGUCAGUAUGGCCCUUACGUCUGGGGCUGCACACGUACUACAAUGGCCGGUACAGAAGGUU